RNAcentral lists this ribosomal RNA (966 nucleotides) under Klebsiella pneumoniae. Its description in RNAcentral is "bacterial LSU rRNA". It matches the Rfam family "Bacterial large subunit ribosomal RNA", at positions 1965 to 2925 of the family's 2925-position model. Lineage: Bacteria; Pseudomonadati; Pseudomonadota; Gammaproteobacteria; Enterobacterales; Enterobacteriaceae. The record is from RNAcentral.
UUCCUUGUCGGGUAAGUUCCGACCUGCACGAAUGGCGUAAUGAUGGCCAGGCUGUCUCCACCCGAGACUCAGUGAAAUUGAACUCGCUGUGAAGAUGCAGUGUACCCGCGGCAAGACGGAAAGACCCCGUGAACCUUUACUAUAGCUUGACACUGAACAUUGAGCCUUGAUGUGUAGGAUAGGUGGGAGGCUUUGAAGCGUGGACGCCAGUCUGCGUGGAGCCAACCUUGAAAUACCACCCUUUAAUGUUUGAUGUUCUAACGUUGGCCCCUGACCGGGGUUGCGGACAGUGUCUGGUGGGUAGUUUGACUGGGGCGGUCUCCUCCCAAAGCGUAACGGAGGAGCACGAAGGUUAGCUAAUCCUGGUCGGACAUCAGGAGGUUAGUGCAAUGGCAUAAGCUAGCUUGACUGCGAGCGUGACGGCGCGAGCAGGUGCGAAAGCAGGUCAUAGUGAUCCGGUGGUUCUGAAUGGAAGGGCCAUCGCUCAACGGAUAAAAGGUACUCCGGGGAUAACAGGCUGAUACCGCCCAAGAGUUCAUAUCGACGGCGGUGUUUGGCACCUCGAUGUCGGCUCAUCACAUCCUGGGGCUGAAGUAGGUCCCAAGGGUAUGGCUGUUCGCCAUUUAAAGUGGUACGCGAGCUGGGUUUAGAACGUCGUGAGACAGUUCGGUCCCUAUCUGCCGUGGGCGCUGGAGAAUUGAGGGGGGCUGCUCCUAGUACGAGAGGACCGGAGUGGACGCAUCACUGGUGUUCGGGUUGUCAUGCCAAUGGCACUGCCCGGUAGCUAAAUGCGGAAGAGAUAAGUGCUGAAAGCAUCUAAGCACGAAACUUGCCCCGAGAUGAGUUCUCCCUGAGACUUUAAGUCUCCUGAAGGAACGUUGAAGACGACGACGUUGAUAGGCCGGGUGUGUAAGCGCAGCGAUGCGUUGAGCUAACCGGUACUAAUGAACCGUGAGGCUUAACCUU